RNAcentral lists this ribosomal RNA (465 nucleotides) under uncultured bacterium. RNAcentral's name for it is "partial 16S ribosomal RNA". It matches the Rfam family "Bacterial small subunit ribosomal RNA", at positions 28 to 507 of the family's 1533-position model. The record is from RNAcentral.
GACGAACGCUGGCGGCGUGCUUAACACAUGCAAGUCGAACGGAAAGGCCCCCUUGUGGGGUACUCGAGUGGCGAACGGGUGAGUAACACGUGAGUAACCUCCCCUUGUCUUUGGGAUAACUUCAGGAAACUGGGGCUAAUACCGUAUAGGAGCUCCUGCUGCAUGGUGGGGGUUGGAAAGUUUCGGCGGCUGGGGAUGGACUCGCGGCUUAUCAGCUUGUUGGUGGGGUAGUGGCUCACCAAGGCUUUGACGGGUAGCCGGCCUGAGAGGGUGACCGGCCACAUUGGGACUGAGAUACGGCCCAGACUCCUACGGGAGGCAGCAGUGGGGAAUAUUGCACAAUGGGCGGAAGCCUGAUGCAGCAACGCCGCGUGCGGGAUGACGGCCUUCGGGUUGUAAACCGCUUUCGCCUGUGACGAAGCGUGAGUGACGGUAAUGGGUAAAGAAGCACCGGCUAACUACGUG